UCUCCACGUUGUUGUAUCUUCCAACCCACGAACGCGGCCGUGUCUCUAGGUGUGUGCUGACGUCUUUCAGCAGCAUUGCUGAGUUUUCAGCAUGUCAUCCCCAGCUGCGCCCCGUUCAGCUGCUCUGGUGCAUCUCUCGCCCUCCAUCUGGUCGGCUGUUUUGUUAUGAAAACGCAGUUCCGCGUAGAGUGCACGGCCUGAGCGCUCCUGGGGGACCUCGCCUUCCUUGUUUUUCUUCUAGCAUCACUGAGCCCACAGAUGACCCGGCCGGUGGCUGGGAGCGGAGGCGAGGCCCGAGGGGGUCCCCAAGGCCGGCACAGGAAGAGGAGCUUGAGGUGAUGGAAUCCUGGGCCCAAGAGACGGAGCAGCAGGUGUUCCGAGGCCAACGGCGCAUGGCCCCAAGAAGGAAGAGUGGCAUCUUUGGAUGCAGCCUCCUGCCUGUCAGCUGCCACGGAGAACAGGUGGCUUGUGGGGACCCUCUGCCGAGGACACGCCCGCGCUCACAGGGACCCUCCGCCGAGGACAUGCCUGUUCGCGGGGACCCUCCGCCGAGGACACCCCUGCGCUCGCGGGGACCCUCUGCUGAGGAAAUGCAUUGUGUUCCAGGUGGGCACUCUGGUGGGCGUGAACCCAGGUCUCUCUUCAGUGUCACAGAGAGGAGAUGAGGGCAGAAGAACAUGGUGGGAGGUAGAGAAUCUGCUGAGGUCUAACACCAGUCCAUCAGCAUCCACGACAGCAGUGACCCAGAGCCCUAUGCCUGACCCACGGAAACGCAUGCAGCCUUGCAAAGGAAUCGGAGUUCAGCACGUGCCCCGAAAGGGACAGACCCAGGGUCAUGGUGCUCAGGGAGGGAGGCUGGACGGAGGCCGCACAUUGUAGGAUGCCAGUUGCAUGGAACGUCCGAGUCGGGAAUCCAGAGAUGAAGCUCCCAGUGGCUGGUGGAGGCCCGGCGGCGGGUGUGAGGGUCUCCUUUGCCGGGUGUGGGGGGGGUAUGGGAAGUUCUGGAACCAGGCGGAGGCGGCGGUUGCAUCACGCUGUGAACGUGCUGGAGGCCCCCGAGUUCACUUCAAAAGCAUGAACUUACUUUGCGUUAUCUGUGUUGUUUCAUCACAACCGAAACACAGCUAAGGGCCGGUGAGCCCAGCUCUGGGACAGAGCCUCAGGACAGCCGGCCUGUGUGUGCGGGGCUGGCAGGGCCUCCGGGCCUCUGUCUUGAGCGGGCGUGGGGUGCAGCCACCACAGGGCAAGGAGCCCUUUGGGCAGGGCGGGGUGGGGUGGGGCCGGACAGCCCGCUGUGGGCAGGCGCCUCAGAGGUUCCAGACCUGAGCUCACCCCCUGCCCCUCCCGCCCUGGCAGUCCGGGGCUGCGUCUCCCUGUCACCAGUGCCCUAGUGGAGGCUGAUGGCUCC
This 1408-nucleotide long non-coding RNA is filed under the name Homo sapiens (human). RNAcentral's name for it is "non-protein coding lnc-PRR25-6:1". Lineage: Eukaryota; Metazoa; Chordata; Mammalia; Primates; Hominidae. The record is from RNAcentral.